GAUUUAUACAUUUUGAGCAAAUAUCAAUUUUGAUCCCACUAACAUUAGCGGAAUGAUAGUUUUGGUCCACAUGUUUAAUCACUUGUCAAUUUUCAUCAAACGACUAUUGCUUUCAUGCCAGUCACUGCUUUGGCUAAAACACGUCAGGAUGUGAAAUUGCAAAGCUGUUUGAUCCUCCACGGCAUGACAGUGCAGAGACCUUUAGGAGGGCUCUAAAUCUUGGAGUAAAUGUUAAAAUGAUUACCGCGGAGCGCUUUGCUCCCUAAUGCAGCAAAGGUAUGAAGUGCCACCCAAUUUUAGAAGGUUAUUGAGUUCAAAGAUGAGAAGACUUGUAUUACAAGGGAAAGUUCAAAAGGAGUGCAUAUUGCAUCUAGUACAAUGGCAAAAGUGAAAAACAUGGAAAAACUUCAGUUGAUGCUAAAGCUCUUACUAAAACAAAACAUAUGAGAAGAAGAAAGAAGAUAUCUAAGUUACAACACGAUUAUAUAUUGGGGAAUUAUCCUGUUGGAAGGGACGAUGCGGCAUAGUUAUGUGCACUGCAGAUAUUGGUUGAAAUUGGAUAUGUUAACAACCUCGAAUCCUGCACUGAUUGGGCGUCUCUCCUACAGCAAUUUUUACCCGUUGAAUUUCAAUAAAAGUUCAGGACUUGCAAGAAGAUGUUGUGUGCUCGUUCCUUUAUCCGUCAAAUCCUCUUUCACCCAUCAUUGAACACAAAAGUUUCUCCCGUUUUGUGCUGUUACUGACAUUGACACCAGCGGCAUCCACCCUUGGAAGAGCUGCACAGUAGCCUACAGAAAAGUAAUGUUCAGAAAAAUUUCAGUUGAUGCUAAGGCUCGUACUAAAACAAAACAUAUGAGAAGAAUUUGAAGAUAUCUAAGAGGCCUUCUAUGCAGGGAAGAAAAUCUGAAGCUCAAGAUUUGGAACAUCAAAGAUUCCCUAUUCACUGGAAAUUCUUGCAAGUUUGAGACAAUUUAUAUUUGUCAGUUAUCACUCAGUCGUGGACUCAUGGAAGUUGAUUUGAGUUCUGAACUCAUUUGCAUCCAUGAUGCUGGGAGACCUCUAGUAUUGGCAGGAGAUGUAUAAAAGGUCAUAAAGGAUAUGAUGGUUGGCUUGUUGGAGCAGCAGUUCUUGGGGUUCCUGCUAAAUCAAUAAUUAAAGAGGCAAAUAAUGAAUCAUUUGUUGUGAGAACUCUUAACCGGAAAACCCUCUGGGAAAUGCAAACUCCACCGGAAACAGUGACUGACUUGAAGUAAAAACAACUAGAAAUGGCAGAAAGAACAGUGUGGUUGAAGACCACUGGUGGCGUGACGAUACACAGCCUCCCUCCAAUCAGUCCGAUGAUAAUACACUAUUCUCCCACUCUAAUCAAGAUUAGAUAGUGCAUUAUUUGAAUGUUUUGAAAAUGUAUUUUGGAUGCUGAAACAAUUGCUACAAAACCUUAUUAGCAUGCAUGUUUAACUAAUAUUUUGACAAAUGUAUGUUUGAUGGUGAAACAAUUGCUACACUUUGAUUUAAAUGAUUGACUAAUGUUUGAUUUCCUUAAAUUGUUAAUUGUAUUGUAGAAUUUAAUAUUGUGGUGUUGAAAUUUGUAUAAUUGUAACAGGUCUAAUUCA
Long non-coding RNA from Ipomoea nil (Japanese morning glory), 1613 nucleotides. RefSeq lists it as uncharacterized. The record is from RefSeq and is a predicted model, not a curated record. The transcript has 13 exons. Lineage: Eukaryota; Viridiplantae; Streptophyta; Magnoliopsida; Solanales; Convolvulaceae.